Molecule: long non-coding RNA, 1954 nt
Filed under: Gossypium barbadense (sea-island cotton)
Lineage: Eukaryota; Viridiplantae; Streptophyta; Magnoliopsida; Malvales; Malvaceae
Description: long non-coding RNA (GBAR_LNC010139)
Source: RNAcentral
CUUACCAUUUCAUUUAACCAUCUAAAUCUUAUAAUUCAUCCUUCACUACUCAAAGUAAUAUACAUAUUCAAGUGUCUAAACAACACCUAUGUACAUGCCACCUUUACCCAAAAGAAAAAUAUACAUCACCAAGUUUGUGUUGGAGUCGGGAUUGUUCUGGAUGCUGAGCCGGGACACUUGACUUCUACUAACCUGCGCACGGAAACAACCGUACGCUGAGUAUGGAUAUACUCAGUGGUAUUACUAUAAAUCAAGACUAUUUAACAUUAAUAAAUUACAAACAUCGACCAUAAAUUUUAUAAUUAUUUAAACUACUUUUAUAUAUAAUUAUUUUACUUCAUAAAUCUUAAAUUCAUAAUUUAUUUUUCUCAUACUAACUCAAUUCAUAAUUUAGUUCAUACAUUCUUUCUCGUACUUUUCAAUAGUGCUAAAACAAAUAAUCUCAUUUUCAAAAUUUCAUUUCAAUUAUUUACCCUAUUAACAAAGCUCGGACUAUGACAGAUACGCGGAUUUCCACCCAAACACACCAGAAUGUCCAACCCAAACACACCCAGGAUAUUUUAAAUCCUCCAUAACACACCAGUAAGGCAUUAAGUGCCUCUUCGGAUAAAUCGAAGUAUAUAAUAACAGAAACAUCUUCUCGGCCGAACUACAAUCUCUUCAUCACAUCACAAAUCCAAUGGCAUGCCAUUUGUAUCAAAUUUAGUCCGACAAGUUAAUAGGGUAUUAUUUUACUUUUCUAAUUUCAAUUUAAUUUACACAAAAAUUUUCAAUACUCAUUCAAUUCAAAUAUCUAUUAUCUUAAUUCAUAUACAAAUUAAUUUUCACACAAGUGUAUACCAUCAACACCAUACAAUUGUCACCAUUUAUUUAUUUUUCAAUCAAUACACUUUUCAAAUAAUCACAUACUUACCUCAAGUCUUACUUACCAUACAUAACAAUUAAAAUUUCAGCAAUCAAUAAUAAUUAAAAUUUGAGUUAUAGUAAUACACACCAUAAUUCUCCCGUUUUAGUCCUCGAUGACUUUCUCCUUUCCUUUCGAUGCUGACGUUUCAGGUUCUUUGUUGGCUACGAAAAUAAUAGUAAUUUAUAUUAUUAUUUACAGCAUUAAUUAUAAUAAAUAAUUAAAUUUCUAAACAAUUCCUACCUUAUUCCCAAUUUAAUCCUAACUAAACUUAAUUAUUUUCUUAAUCCAAUUCACUCUCUUUUUCUAUUCAAAUUUUGUCUAAACUUAUAUUUAACUAUAAAAUUUCCAGCAUAUUUCCCUAAUUUCGAAAUUUCUUCAAUUUAGUCCCUUCAACAUAAAACUUAUAGCCUAGUUUACAAUUUAAUCCCUUAAUCAAUUCUAAUUUAGAAUUCAUUCAAUUAAAUCCCUAAUUCCUUAAUUUAUCCAACAUGAAUCAUAUUUGGAAACAUAUAAACUCUUGAAUUAUCAACUUAAUUUCAUCAAAACUUGUUUUAAAGCUUCUAAAAUAUCAAAAUUAAGAGAAAAGGACUUAAUUAAGCUUACCAAUUAAACUUGAAGCUUUAAAAUCCAAAUUUCCCUUUUUAUUUUCUUUCCCUUUUUCUUCCCCUGUUUUCGUUUUGUUCCUGUUUCGUUUAUGUUUCUUUUGUUUUGUUUCUUUGUUUCCUUAAUUCUUUUUAUGCUUUAUUAUUUUAUUAACAUAAUAUAAUAUUAAUAUCAUAUAUUAAAAUAUCUUUUACUUUAAUAUUAAGUAAAUUAAUAAUUAUAUAACAAGUGCACAUAUUUAUAUUGUUACAAAUGUCAUGAUCUAAUUUGCUUAUCAAAUAAAAAUCUCAUGAUUUAAUUAAUACAAUUAAUAAUUAUAAAAUAUCUUUAUACUUAAAGUAUAAGUAAUUAAAUAUUUAAAUUACAAUUGUACCAAUACAAUUCUUACACAUGUAUAUUUUAUUACCAUACAAUUGUCUUCUAUUUAAUUUAUUUAAUAAUAAU